Molecule: ribosomal RNA, 492 nt
Filed under: uncultured bacterium
Lineage: Bacteria
Description: partial 16S ribosomal RNA
Rfam family: Bacterial small subunit ribosomal RNA
Source: RNAcentral
AUUGAACGCUGGCGGCAUGCUUUACACAUGCAAGUCGAACGGUAACAGGCCUUCGGGUGCUGACGAGUGGCGGACGGGUGAGUAAUGCAUCGGAACGUACCCAGAGGUGGGGGAUAACGCAGCGAAAGCUGUGCUAAUACCGCAUGUGAUCUGAGGAUGAAAUCGGGGGACCGAGCAGCAAUGUUUGGCCUCGCGCCUUUGGAGCGGCCGAUGUCGGACUAGCUAGUUGGGGGGGUAAAGGCCUACCAAGGCGACGAUCCGUAGCUGGUCUGAGAGGACGGUAGGCCACACUGGGAGUGAGCCAGCGCCCAGACUCCUACGGGACGGCGCAGUCGGGAACUUUGGACAAUGGGCGGAAGUCUGAUACAGCGAUGGCGCGUGCGAGAAGACGGCCUUGGGGUUGUGAACAGGUUUUGGCAGGAAUGAACCGGUGUCGGCUAAUACCGAGCGUUAAUGACGGUACCUGCAGAAUAAGCACCGGCUAACUACGUG